Molecule: unclassified non-coding RNA, 342 nt
Filed under: soil metagenome
Description: partial contains 5.8S ribosomal RNA, internal transcribed spacer 2, and large subunit ribosomal RNA
Rfam family: 5.8S ribosomal RNA (bases 1-120)
Source: RNAcentral
GAUGAAGAACGUAGCGAAAUGCGAUAAGUAGUGUGAAUUGCAGAAUUCAGUGAAUCAUCGAAUCUUUGAACGCACAUUGCGGCCAUAGGUAUUCCUUUGGCCAUGCCUGUUCGAGCGUCAUUUACACCCUCAAGCCUAGCUUGGUGUUGGGCGUCUGUCCCGCCGUUCUCGCGCGCGGACUCGCCUCAAAGUUAUUGGCGGCGGUCGUGCCGGCCCCCUCGCGCAGCACAUUUGCGCUUCUCGGAGGCCCGGCGGAUCCGCGCUCCAGCAAGACCUUUCACGACUUGACCUCGGAUCAGGUAGGGAUACCCGCUGAACUUAAGCAUAUCAAUAAGCGGAGGA